GAUGAACGCUGGCGGCGUGCCUAAUACAUGCAAGUAGAACGCUGAAGGAGGAGCUUGCUCUUCUGGAUGAGUUGCGAACGGGUGAGUAACGCGUAGGUAACCUGCCUGGUAGCGGGGGAUAACUAUUGGAAACGAUAGCUAAUACCGCAUGACAACAGUUAUUGCAUGAUAACUGUUUAAAAGGGGCAACUGCUCCACUACCAGAUGGACCUGCGUUGUAUUAGCUAGUUGGUGAGGUAACGGCUCACCAAGGCGACGAUACAUAGCCGACCUGAGAGGGUGAUCGGCCACACUGGGACUGAGACACGGCCCAGACUCCUACGGGAGGCAGCAGUAGGGAAUCUUCGGCAAUGGACGGAAGUCUGACCGAGCAACGCCGCGUGAGUGAAGAAGGUUGUCGGAUCGGAAAGCUCUGUUGUAAGAGAAGAACGAGUGUGAGAGUGGAAAGUUCACACUGUGACGGUAUCUGACCAGAAAGGGACGGCUAACUACGUG
RNAcentral lists this ribosomal RNA (495 nucleotides) under uncultured bacterium. RNAcentral describes it as "partial 16S ribosomal RNA". It matches the Rfam family "Bacterial small subunit ribosomal RNA", at positions 28 to 507 of the family's 1533-position model. The record is from RNAcentral.